GAUGAACGCUGGCGGCGUGCCUAAUACAUGCAAGUCGAGCGAACGGACGAGAAGCUUGCUUCUCUGAUGUUAGCGGCGGACGGGUGAGUAACACGUGGAUAACCUACCUAUAAGACUGGGAUAACUUCGGGAAACCGGAGCUAAUACCGGAUAAUAUUUUGAACCGCAUGGUUCAAAAGUGAAAGACGGUCUUGCUGUCACUUAUAGAUGGAUCCGCGCUGCAUUAGCUAGUUGGUAAGGUAACGGCUUACCAAGGCAACGAUGCAUAGCCGACCUAAGAGGGUGAUCGGCCACACUGGAACUGAGACACGGUCCAGACUCCUACGGGAGGCAGCAGUAGGGAAUCUUCCGCAAUGGGCGAAAGCCUGACGGAGCAACGCCGCGUGAGUGAUGAAGGUCUUCGGAUCGUAAAACUCUGUUAUUAGGGAAGAACAUAUGUGUAAGUAACUGUGCACAUCUUGACGGUACCUAAUCAGAAAGCCACGGCUAACUACGUG
Molecule: ribosomal RNA, 497 nt
Filed under: uncultured bacterium
Lineage: Bacteria
Description: partial 16S ribosomal RNA
Rfam family: Bacterial small subunit ribosomal RNA
Source: RNAcentral